This 421-nucleotide ribosomal RNA is filed under the name uncultured bacterium. RNAcentral describes it as "bacterial SSU rRNA". It matches the Rfam family "Bacterial small subunit ribosomal RNA", at positions 355 to 774 of the family's 1533-position model. The record is from RNAcentral.
UAAGGAAUAUUGGUCAAUGGACGCAAGUCUGAACCAGCCAUGCCGCGUGAAGGAUGAAGGUCCUCUGGAUUGUAAACUUCUUUUAUCUGGGACGAAAACGGGAUUUUUAUCUCAAUUGACGGUACCAGAGGAAUAAGCACCGGCUAACUCCGUGCCAGCAGCCGCGGUAAUACGGAGGGUGCGAGCGUUAUCCGGAUUUACUGGGUUUAAAGGGUGCGUAGGUGGGCUUAUAAGUCAGUGGUGAAAUCUCCGAGCUUAACUUGGAAACUGCCGUUGAUACUAUAGGUCUUGAAUUAUCUGGAGGUAAGCGGAAUAUGCCAUGUAGCGGUGAAAUGCUUAGAUAUGACAUAGAACACCAAUUGCGAAGGCAGCUUACUACAUAUAAAUUGACGCUGAGGCACGAAAGCGUGGGGAUCAAACA